CAUGUGGAACAGCUAGCCCAGCAGACAGGCACGGAGUCUGUCUCAGGUUCCUGCAGGGCUGCUGGUGGGAGCUGUCUAGAAAACAGAGAAAAUAGUGGGCUGGAGAAGAAGAGAAUGACAGCUAAAAGAAAAAUCCCAGAGCUCAUUUCCAGGUGGUUGAAAUCUGGAUUGGCAGUGAUCAUAAUGGAGUGCUGUGCAAGUUGCAAUGGAAGAUGGAGGCUUUGGGGGAGAAUAAAGUAGAGGGCUUCAUAGACUUCCAGACUAGAAGGGACCAUUAUGAUCAUCUAGUUUGACCUUCUAUAUAAUACAGGCCUUAAAUAAUUCCUUGAUCAAAUCUCUUUGGAAAACAUCCAUGAUGGAGACACUACCACAAACAUUGUAUGACCCAGCUCCUCCUAUUGCAAAGCCCUGCCGCUCAGAUAUGGCUCAACAGAGAAAAGCAACUCCUGUCAGGAGAUUGAGCCAAAAGAAACAGUUAAGGUUGUUAGGCCAGAAGUCAGAACUACAUACCGAAUCUUGCAGGCUCCCUGUUAUCAUU
Molecule: non-coding RNA, 538 nt
Organism: Pelodiscus sinensis (Chinese soft-shelled turtle)
Lineage: Eukaryota; Metazoa; Chordata; Testudines; Trionychidae
Source: RefSeq, a predicted model, not a curated record